UAUUUUACGACCCAAAUCACAACCAAUAUACUACAUUCCGACGUUUGUGGUGUAAUUUUGGACAAAAUACAUGACAAAUAUACUACGACGAUGCCCAAAUAUACUACAAAAUUUUACGAAUAUAAUUACGAAAGUGUAAAACCGGCAAAAUAUAUUGAACGAUAUGCAUCAAAUAUACCAAAUAUACAAAAUGUAGAGUUC
The sequence is a regulatory RNA element, 201 nucleotides long. It matches the Rfam family "Baculoviridae Nucleocapsid Assembly essential Element". From Rfam's summary of the family: Internal cis-element within the ac83 gene. The record is from Rfam.